CCUACGGGGGGCAGCAGUGAGGAAUAUUGGUCAAUGGCCGGAAGGCUGAACCAGCCAUGCCGCGUGAAGGUCAGUGCCCUAUGGGCGUUAAACUUCUUUUGUGCGGGAGCAAUAAUGGUCACGUGUGGCCAGACGAGAGUACCGUACGAAUAAGCAUCGACUAACUCCGUGCCAGCAGCCGCGGUAAUACGGGGGAUGCAAGCGUUAUCCGGAUUUAUUGGGUUUAAAGGGUGCGUAGGCUGUGAGGUAAGUCAGCGGUGAAAUGCCCCCGCUCAACGGGGUGAAGUGCCAUUGAUACUGCCUGGCUGGAAUGCGGAUGCGGUGGGAGGAAUGUGUGGUGUAGCGGUGAAAUGCAUAGAUAUCACACAGAACACCGAUUGCGAAGGCAUCUCACGAAUCCGCGAUUGACGCUGAUGCACGAAAGCGUGGGUAUCAAACAGGAUUAGAUACCCCUGUAGUC
Molecule: ribosomal RNA, 460 nt
Filed under: uncultured bacterium
Lineage: Bacteria
Description: partial 16S ribosomal RNA
Rfam family: Bacterial small subunit ribosomal RNA
Source: RNAcentral